This 6087-nucleotide long non-coding RNA is filed under the name Sus scrofa (pig). RNAcentral describes it as "lncRNA (ENSSSCG00035069171.1, ENSSSCG00065050122.1)". Lineage: Eukaryota; Metazoa; Chordata; Mammalia; Artiodactyla; Suidae. The record is from RNAcentral.
UCCAGCGACAAGAGAGAACCUCCUGAGAGGUUUGGUAGAAUCUCCUUGUCAGGGGAUUCGGGUUUCGGUCCCACCCCUGAGAGGGAGUCCUCCCACACUCAAGCCCUUCCUUUUCUUCCCUCUCCCCUGGUUCUCUCCUGAGCCCGCCCUUUGCCCUAGUUUCUCCUCUUAGGGGUGGGGGUUGGGGGGAAUGGAGCUGGGCUUGCCAGUAGGGUUGUCAUAUUUAGCAGUAAAAAUACAGGAUGCUAGUUCAAAUUUAAAUUUCACAUAAACAAUACAUAAUUCUUUAGUAUAAUAUGUGUCCGAUAUCAAAUAAAAUUAAAAUAUAAAAACAUCAUUUGUUAACUGUCUGAAAUUUAACUGGGCAUCCUGUUUUUUACCUGGCAAUCCUAGGCAAAAAUAGGAUUUAUGUACCUCCUAUUUACGGUAUCCUUUCAUAGCACUCCCAGUAUGGGGAGUGUUAUAAUCCAUGUUCUGAUGAACCCCAAAGGGUCUUGCUCAAGGUUAUGCAACUAGUAAGUAACCAGGCUGGGAUACCUUAAAAGCCCAUUUCAAUUCUGCUAUCUCUCGUCAGGUGUGCAAUUCAAGGAAAGACUCCUGGAGAGCUCGUCCAAUUGUUAGAAUGAAUCUCCUUAAUAAAAGCCAAUUUAUCUUUCAGAGGGGCUAUAGAGUUGUUUUAUAUUCAGGUUCUCUGCUGUGGCAUUUACCUUAUAUUUGGGGGAAGAAACUGUAUUAAACUGUCAAGGAAUAUUGAUUUACUAUAUGAUGAUGAAAGUAUAUUUUAUAUUAUUAAAUCACAAUAGCAUAUCAUUUGACUUUGACAUCAGUGAACAAGGUUAUGUUCAUACAGUAGACCCAUACAUCUCUGUAAGCAUAGUGAUUAAGGCAGUAUAGGGUAUUCUGAAAUGAGACAUACCUCGGUUCAAAGCCUAGCUUCACGAACACUUUGAUGCAGUAGGUAAGUUACAGAAUCUCUCUGGGCCUCUGUUUGCUCUUUUUAAAAAAGAAAUAGUAAUUAUAACCACUUCGUAGGGUUGUUGUACUAAAUUCUUAUCAAGUGCCUGGAACAUUUAAAUUAAUUAAUUUUAGCUAUGAUUUGCCAUUAUACUUUGAGUAUAAUGUGGAUUUUGGCAUAAAUCAUUAGAUAAUUAAAUGUUUUAAUUUUAGUUUUAAGUUGAAAAAAGCCAGUAAUUAAGAAUAUUAUGAAUAUUGUGAAUUUCAGUGAAAUGUACUAUUCAAUAAUAAAAGAGAUAUUUUAGAUAAUAUACCAGUUUCACUAAAUCAACUAUCUAUAAGCCAAGUUAAUAGAAUAAAAUAUUUGUAUAUCAGUCUCAGUAAUUGCUCCUCAUGUAUAAUUUUAUAUGAUUUUCAUUUUCAUUGUGUUAUAAACAGGAAGAAAACUUACCAAGCACCAACGGAGAGAAAAUAACUACAGGGUGAGGGGUAAAGCCAGAAAAUAGGUCUAUGAUCAGUGGCUGUUUAUGGUGAGGUAGACUUAGUAUGUUUUAAAAACCAAAUGUCAAGCUUUGUAGGAAUUUUAUAUUUCUUUGUAUAUUGUCUUAUUUCCUUAGUGUUUACAGUGUUAACUUAGUUCACUUACAAACUAUUCUCUAAAAUUCCUCUUGGGAACUUUUUUCAGUUUUUCUCUAAAAAACUACAAAAGCUUUCUACUACCUUGAAGGGAAUGUGGAAUUGUGAAAAUUGAAAUUAACAACUAUGGACUAUUAUCCAAAUAAUUGUAAACAAGUCACUGAACACAUCUGAGCCUUGCUUUAUCUCUAAAAUCAAAACAAAUGAAAACCUACCCCACCAUCCCCAAGGUUUAUAAAUGCUACCGAUUACUGUAACUCUUAUCCACCCGAAAAAAUUCCUCCAUGGAUGAAUCCAACUAUUUGGAUUUUUUGUUCCUGCUGCAGGCUUCCCAGAAGAGCUGGAGAAACUUUCACACUGGAAAGACUUGGUACUAAAAUAAAUUCAUGGUAGUCACCUUCACCUGGACUUUCACACCGCACAGCAGGCCCACUGUGUUUCUCUAACCACUCAUUCUUCCUUUUUAUGCAAUUGCGGUUUCAAAUCCUCUUCACUUCUUUCAAGCUUCUGACAUCCUUUGAAAGCCAUUCUCACUAAGUGACCUCUGUGUUAUUGAGAAAAUUGAGUACCUGAGCUUCUGAAUUUCCUGCUGGAAAAUCUGCCCACUGACCUUCAUCUGCAUCCAUCCAGCUUUCACUGAAUCCUAGUACCUUUGCCUGUGUUCUGAAUUCUUCCUUACUAUCUCAGGGACCUUUAUCAUCAGUUAUCCCUUAUGUCACCUGGAUGGUCAGCCACUGCCUCUAAAUCCUUCCCAUCCGCAUGUAAAUAUUCAUUCCUGCAGUCCCUUCUUCAGGGAACAGUUGUCAGUUACCAUUCUUCCACCCAUCUAAUACUCGAUUUCUUCUCCCAUUUGUAAUCAGUUUUAAAGAACUGUCUGCCCUGAUGUUUCUAUUUCUUUACUUCCCAUUCUCUUGGCAACCUGUUCCCGUUGUUCUUCCAUCCUCACCCCUCUGCUGAAACUAUUCCUGCUAAGGUCCCAAUAGUUUCCUUGUCCCUCAAUCCCAUGGACUUCUGACCUGUUAGGCAACAUUUCAUACCCUAAACCAGUGUUCGGGCAAACUGUAGCAUGUGGACCAAAUAUAGCUUCAGCAUGUUCUUAUAUGGCCUUUGAACUAAAAUAUUUUCAUCUAUCUGGCUCUUUACAGAAAAAGAUUGCCAACCCCUUCUAUAGUUCACUCCCUCCUUUUAAGAAUAAAUUCUUUUGGCUCUUCCCUUAUAAGUAAGUUUUGUUUUCUUUGUACUCUUCUCUCCUUUCUUUCUCAGUCUCUCUGUGGUUACCAGACCCUUAGAUGUUGGAAUUCCUCAACACUUUAUGUUGGAAGUGGGAUCUUCUGGAUCUCAUCUACUCCCAAACUUCUACCUCACAUUUUCUUCUGAACAUCAUACAUGUGUAUUCAACUGCCUACUCAACCUCUCCACUUAAUGUGCUACAGAUAGCCCAAACUCAAUAUAUUUGAAACUGAACUCACAAUCCUGUGCUAACCCUGCCUUUCCUACAGACUGUCAUAACCCAAUAGAGUAUAAAGCUGUUGCUUAUAAAGUUAAUGUCAGAAAUCUGGGAGUCUUUGAACAUCUCUUCCUCUCCUCAUCUUGUUCCACUCACAUCUAAGUAAUCACCAAAUGCUAUUAAUUGUAUUACCUGCUUGGUUUUUAAUCUACUUCAUUCAUUCUGCCCAAUACCACCCUAAAGUCAAAAACACCAUCAUCUGGUCAAAUGCUUUAACCUAAGUAGCCUUCCUCUUUUUCUUUAAAAAAAAUUUUUUUGUAAUUGAAUAAUUCUCAUACCAUAUGGGUUACCCUAAAAUUUACAAUUUAGUAGUUCUUAGCUUAUUCAAGAUUCAAACAUUAGUGGUACAUAUCUGGUAUUUUUGCCAUAAGCAUCUUUGCUGUAGACAUUUUUGCUGCAUAGCUAAGUGGCUUUAGAGCAAUUUUGCCUUAAAACAUAAGAUAACUGGUUGACAGUUUGGUUUCAAAUGAUUGACACUUAGUUUCAUUUCUCCAUUGACACAGUUCUCCCAUUUUUAUAUUCCAUAAAUCCUAGCCCUCAUAAGGAUCGACACAAUGACAAGUAGAUAUGGUAGUAUUAAAAUAGUGGAUGAAAACUGUAUAUCAACUUGAUGGGAAAUAUGGUGAUAAAACUUACCGGAACUGUUAAAUAAGAAUGUAAAGACAGAUUGCAUACUAUACCAGAAAAUGAUAACUCACAAAGCUCAGUUAUAAUUGAGUAUUUGGAAACUGAUACCUCUUUUUUUUCCUUUUUUUGUGCUUUUCAGGGCUGCACCCACGGCGUAUGGAGGUUCCCAGGCUAGGGGUCUAAUCAGAGCUAUAGCUGCCGGCCUACACCAUAGCCACAGCAACACCAGAUACGAGCCUCGUCUGCAACCUACAUCACAGUUCAUGGCAGCGCCGGAUCCUUAACCCAAUGAGCAAGGCCAGGGAUCGAACCCGCAAUCUCAUGGUUCCUAGUCGGAUUUGUUUCUGCUGUGCCACAGUGGGUACUCCUGAUACCUCUCUUAAUGAAAGAAGAAAGUUUAGUGAAAAAGAAAAGGUGCUAUGCCGAAUGAGGAGAGACAUCAACUGCAAAAUAACAAAGUAAAAUGUAUGUGUAAAAUACAUUCUCUUACAUCAUAGUACAAUUAUCAAAAUCAAGAAAUUAAUUUUGAUGUAAUAUUAUCUAAUCUGCUGACCUUAUUAAGAUUUAGCCAGUUGUCAAACUAACGUGUAUGUGUAUUUUACAAAAAAUAAAAAUAAAAGAACAGGGAGUUCCCGUCGUGGCGCAAUGGUUAACAAAUCCGACUAGGAACCAUGAGGUUGCGGGUUCGAUCCCUGCCCUUGCUCAGUGGGUUAACGAUCCGGCGUUGCCGUGAGCUGUGGUGUAGGUUGCAGACGCGGCUCGGAUCCCGCGUUGCUGUGGCUCUGGCGUAGGCCGGCGGCUACAGCUCCGAUUCAACCCCUAGCCUGGGAACCUCCAUAUGCCGCGGGAGCGGCCCAAGAAAUAGCAACAACAACAACAACAAAAAGACAAAAAUAAAUAAAUAAAUAAAUAAAAGAACAGAACAGAAAAAAUGGGGUUUUAGUGGUCUAGAAUCUAAUUCAGUUUCACACAUUGGAUUUAGUCACCAUGUCUCUUUGGUCUGCCUCAUUCUGGAACACUUCCUCACUCUUUGUCUUUAAUAAGACUAGAUGAUGACGGGAGUUUUGGUAUUCAUGAUGCAUCAGCAAUGGAGAGCUCUACUUGAUACUCAAAACAAGAGGAGAGGAUGGUGUCACUCACUGAGCAUGCAGUUUUGGCAUUUGGAGACUAUAUGGGAGCAACUUGUCUGUGCCUGCCUUGUGUGGAAUCAGUGCUCCCAAUGAAAUGCAAAACCUGCAGGCUGAUAGAGGAGGCAGCACACAACGUCCAGGGAGAGCAUUGAUAUGUUAAAUAGAAGAUAUCUUUUCUCUAGAAGAAAGUCUCGGCAACCCACUGUUAAGUAAGACUUUUUUUCGUUUUACAAAAUGGAUCAAGAUGCUUGUUUUGGAUGAAUUCAGUAAAAAUGUUGAGCCAAAGGAUUAAAGGUCAAAUCCAUGAGAUUUACCGGAAAUCAAAUCUGGAUUCAGGCUGUAUUGUUUUCUGCCUUAAUGCUAAUCGAUAUAUUGAAAAUCAUCAAAAAGUUCCCAAGAGAUCCAUUUCAAAUUCCGGUGAAGAAGGAAGAACUGAACUUUGAAAAGGCCAAAAUGUUACAAUAAUUUUGAAAGAGGAAUUGUUCAGAGUUGAUUUGGGAGGAAAGCAAUGGCCGUAAGUGUUGAAGAAGACAAGGAGGUUCUUUGUGAUACUGAUACUUUCUACAGUACUGCAGUGGAGGAAACGCCAGUGGGUAUGACGGACCUUAUUAAAUCCUGGGAUGAAAUGGUUUUGAAUGUGAUGCUUGCUGUUGCAGUGCAGGUGAUCAUGAUGUGCACUGUGCUUCUUUUGCAGGGGGUGGGGGGGUUGCGGGAGGAAUAUUUGAAGCUUGUUUCAAUGCUCAUAACGGAUCAAAAAUAUAGAUUUUGCUGCAAAGCAACUUUAGUCAUGAGCUCUUUUGAGGAAAGUCAUUGCCUUUAUCCUCUUUAGAGUUAGAUUGUUGGUUGGGUCUAAGGGAUUGUGAACAUCUUCCUUAGCAAUUUAUUUCCUAGUUAUCUAAAUAAUAAUUAUAUUGAGUAUUUGUUAUCAUCUAAUAAUAUACUUACAGACUGAAAGAUAUGUGCCUUCAGUGUUUAAACUAGUGUAUCUGCCAUUAUUGUGUUAGUCAUCAGGCUGAGUAGAAUGAACUUUAAAAUUAUUUUUUAAGAAAAUAUUUGAAUUCAUUUUGUUUGGUAUCAUUUUUAUUCAGUAAGGCAUUUAUUUUGUUAGUGGUAAGUGUAAACUAGAGUCUUUUGCUAAGCACCAGCAACAAUCAUAUCCUAUGGUUAAAUCUCAGAAAAAUCGCUAUAUUGCAUAUUGAAUGUUCAGCAAAUUACAAUGAAGUAUAUUUUUCU